Molecule: non-coding RNA, 22 nt
Filed under: Arabidopsis thaliana (thale cress)
Lineage: Eukaryota; Viridiplantae; Streptophyta; Magnoliopsida; Brassicales; Brassicaceae
Source: RNAcentral
CACCGCACGUCGCGUGGUGUCC